This is a long non-coding RNA of Alosa sapidissima (American shad), 1087 nucleotides long. RefSeq lists it as uncharacterized. The transcript is spliced from 3 exons. Lineage: Eukaryota; Metazoa; Chordata; Actinopteri; Clupeiformes; Clupeidae. The record is from RefSeq and is a predicted model, not a curated record.
GGGGGGAGAAAAGGCAGUGUGUAAUUUCUCAAUCUGUACAUCUGUUUUUAUAAUUCCAUGUGUAACAGGACAAGGUCCACGCCCCUUGCCUAACCCAGUAGUGCAAUUGCAAAUGGCUCUUUGCAUUCGGAGGCGAGCCAAUUAGCGUAGGGAAGUGGCUACAUAAAUUGUAACUUUUAAUUUGAAGGCCGACGUCAUAGCUGCAUACUGUUGGUUGUCCACCUGACUCCUGCCUUCACCGCGGGAUCCCUUGUGCUCUUUUGGCCUCCUGCUCACUGUGCAUGCAUCCAGUGACAUUCCUGGAUUGCUGUCGGCUGCUGAACAUGGGCCUCAUAGCCGACCUCAGCUGAUUGCAGAGCUUGCGGUAACACAAGGAGCGGCAACAUCAAGGCAUCUUGGUUCAAGUUCCGAACGCUGCUGUUUUGUUUUGUUUUGUCCGCGCCCAAGUUGUGUUAGUCCAUUUUAAACCUUCCACACGGGAGAACUGUACAACGGACGCUCUCGUCCAGUUUUAUUCUGUCUGAAAGUGGCCUUGAACGCCCUGCGUGUUAAGUGUCCAUAGAAGCUGUGGUUGCUAAAUUAAUGAACGUUUUUAUUGUAAGUUGUCUCCAGAGUGUGAGUGCAUAUACAGUACGAUGUAUGGUGUGUAUUAGAAUUAGUGGCUCAUUAGUUGAUCUCUCCCUCUCUUGCUGGACAGGAGCUGCAGGCCAAUUGGGUGGCGGGCUAUCUCGGUGGUGGUGUCCCUUCACUUUCCUGCUGUGGUAAAUCUUGAGUAUCUGGUAUUGACAUGUUCAUGUGUGGUGUGUGUCUCUAGACUCUACUCUGAUAUACUCUCCAGCCCUGGGUAAGCUUCAGCCCUGUUCCUGGCUCUUCCUACCCUCCAUCAGCGGUUAGCCCUCUAAUCUUUUGCAACACAGUCUGCUGUGUGUGUGUGUUUGUGCAUUUGUGAUUGUGUAUAUUGUACAUGUGUGUCCAGGCCUUGUAGGCCAUUUGUGUCAGUGCCUUAGUGACCAAGGUUCUGACUGUCUGGAGAGAACCCACUCCCUGUAGGUUAUGUUUUAAUAUUUGUUAAUAAAGACAGUUUAUU